RNAcentral lists this ribosomal RNA (1084 nucleotides) under Klebsiella pneumoniae. Its description in RNAcentral is "bacterial SSU rRNA". It matches the Rfam family "Bacterial small subunit ribosomal RNA", at positions 197 to 1272 of the family's 1533-position model. The record is from RNAcentral. Lineage: Bacteria; Pseudomonadati; Pseudomonadota; Gammaproteobacteria; Enterobacterales; Enterobacteriaceae.
GGACCUUCGGGCCUCAUGCCAUCAGAUGUGGCCCAGAUGGGAUUAGCUAGUAGGUGGGGUAACGGCUCACCUAGGCGACGAUCCCUAGCUGGUCUGAGAGGAUGACCAGCCACACUGGAACUGAGACACGGUCCAGACUCCUACGGGAGGCAGCAGUGGGGAAUAUUGCACAAUGGGCGCAAGCCUGAUGCAGCCAUGCCGCGUGUGUGAAGAAGGCCUUCGGGUUGUAAAGCACUUUCAGCGGGGAGGAAGGCGAUAAGGUUAAUAACCUUGUCGAUUGACGUUACCCGCAGAAGAAGCACCGGCUAACUCCGUGCCAGCAGCCGCGGUAAUACGGAGGGUGCAAGCGUUAAUCGGAAUUACUGGGCGUAAAGCGCACGCAGGCGGUCUGUCAAGUCGGAUGUGAAAUCCCCGGGCUCAACCUGGGAACUGCAUUCGAAACUGGCAGGCUAGAGUCUUGUAGAGGGGGGUAGAAUUCCAGGUGUAGCGGUGAAAUGCGUAGAGAUCUGGAGGAAUACCGGUGGCGAAGGCGGCCCCCUGGACAAAGACUGACGCUCAGGUGCGAAAGCGUGGGGAGCAAACAGGAUUAGAUACCCUGGUAGUCCACGCCGUAAACGAUGUCGAUUUGGAGGUUGUGCCCUUGAGGCGUGGCUUCCGGAGCUAACGCGUUAAAUCGACCGCCUGGGGAGUACGGCCGCAAGGUUAAAACUCAAAUGAAUUGACGGGGGCCCGCACAAGCGGUGGAGCAUGUGGUUUAAUUCGAUGCAACGCGAAGAACCUUACCUGGUCUUGACAUCCACAGAACUUGCCAGAGAUGGUUUGGUGCCUUCGGGAACUGUGAGACAGGUGCUGCAUGGCUGUCGUCAGCUCGUGUUGUGAAAUGUUGGGUUAAGUCCCGCAACGAGCGCAACCCUUAUCCUUUGUUGCCAGCGGUUAGGCCGGGAACUCAAAGGAGACUGCCAGUGAUAAACUGGAGGAAGGGGGGGGAUGACGUCAAGUCAUCAUGGCCCUUACGACCAGGGCUACACACGUGCUACAAUGGCAUUUACAAAAAGAAAGCGACCCUCCGCGAAAGCAAGCGGAC